Molecule: long non-coding RNA, 306 nt
Organism: Ostrea edulis (European flat oyster)
Lineage: Eukaryota; Metazoa; Mollusca; Bivalvia; Ostreida; Ostreidae
Exons: 3
Source: RefSeq, a predicted model, not a curated record
AUCCAGUAUGCAUAGAAAUAAACACAAAGGACGGGUGUUAUCUAGCUGAUCCAAAUUGUACGAGAAUAGAAGAAACCAACGAGGCGCCCAAAAUUGGAUAUAACAUCAUAUUCCCGGUAUUUAUCGUCGCUGUAUCCUACUUCAGUGUACAUCUGGUUCUACGCAGAUAAGUUUGGAGCAUAUACCACCUAAAUAUGAAAGGUCCAGGAUUCAUGAUAUGCGAAAAUGUGUCGUUCGGACCGAAAAUGUGUGAUGCAGGAUUGAAAUUAAGAACACGACAUUGUAAAAACUUUAUUAAAUAAAAUA